This 169-nucleotide ribosomal RNA is filed under the name Ostorhinchus nigrofasciatus (blackstripe cardinalfish). Its description in RNAcentral is "partial small subunit ribosomal RNA". The record is from RNAcentral. Lineage: Eukaryota; Metazoa; Chordata; Actinopteri; Kurtiformes; Apogonidae.
CACCGCGGUUAUACGAGAGGCCCAAGCUGACAGUCACCGGCGUAAAGAGUGGUUAAUAACCCCAUAACAAUAAAGUCGAACAUCUCCAAAGUUGUUUAAUACAUUCGAAGAUAUGAAGAUCUACCACGAAAGUGACUUUACACUCUUUGAACCCACGAAAGCUAGGGAA